This is a long non-coding RNA of Chenopodium quinoa (quinoa), 1375 nucleotides long. RefSeq lists it as uncharacterized. The transcript is spliced from 3 exons. Lineage: Eukaryota; Viridiplantae; Streptophyta; Magnoliopsida; Caryophyllales; Amaranthaceae. The record is from RefSeq and is a predicted model, not a curated record.
UCUAGGCUUAGUGACGUAACUCUUCCGAGGGACACAAAAAACACCAAAACAGAUUUCACCAUCAUCUUACAAAUUUUUGGAUGAAAUCCGUUAAAGGGACCCACGAUGGACACGUGUCAAUAAGACAUCUAUACUAUUAUUUUAAAACAGGAAAACUUAAAUACAUAUAGAGUGCCACGUGUACAUUUUUUUUUUUAAAUUUUUUUUUUUAUUUUUGACAUACUCAUCCGGAUGUUUAUCUUUCUAUUUCCUGGACUUGAGUUUCUUCCCAAACAACGCUUCCCUUCGGUUCCACAAUUAAAAAUUACCAAACAACGUUUCAAUCACCUUUAAUUUCUCCGUUUAAGAUUUAUAAAUAGAUUGAAAAAUGAACAUUAAAGAUUGUAUUAUGGCCAUUGAUGAAGGUCGUAGGUUUGUGAUCCCUCCUAUACUCCCACUGUUUUUAUUUUAAAAAAAAUUAAUUAAUUUUCAUAGUACAUACAAUUUCUAAUUUUUACUUGUGAUAAUUUUUCAAAUUGUUGAUUAAAAUGCUUUUUUGGGUGAAGGGCCAAUGGUAUAUGGAUUCUUCUACAGUUUUGUUUCUUUUUAAAAUACUCUUGCUUCAGUAAAGUUUGCAGGUUUGCCCCUGUUUUUCAAUAAAUUUUAAGUUAAUUUUUCUCUAAUAUUUGGCCUUUUGUUGAUUAAUAAGUAAAUGGUUUCGUAAGUUGAUUAAUUGCUUAUUGCUUAUGAAUGAUUUUGCCUCACGAAGAUUAACUAUUUUUAUUUUUUUUUUUGAGGGAAUUAACUCUUAGUAAUUGCUACUCUGUAUGAUUUUGAUCCAACUUCCGUUAUUCAAUUUUAAGUAUCAAUUAAAUUUCUCUUCCUUAGAAUUUUAAGUAUCAACUUUCGUAAUACUCUUAGUACGCUAAAUUAAAUUUGGAAUUCUGUUUCUCUUGCUUUUUUUUUCUUCCCCAAUUAUGAUUUUUGAUGCAUGUUACCUGUUUCUUGGUGACUGAUUGUUUAUUAAUUUUUUCUAUUGUGAAUUCCCUUAAAGUCUGAAGCGCUUCCAUCUUUCAAACCAGGAAGACAAACUGAUAAUCAAUCGUUAGUUUACAAUCUGCAAUUGUCACAAAUUUCGUCAAUGUCAUCAGAUAUAUUUAAUAGGUACACAUGCAGAUCGUCAAUGCCUCAAUGGGAAUAUGCAUUAAGGUCGCUAUUUCAUGGUUGUACAACAAUUAUUAGUGAUGUCAAUUCAUGAAUGUAGCUGUUAUUAGUAAAAUAGUAAUAGAUGCAUUACAUAUAUUGUAUUAAUUUUAUAAUUGAAAGGUGGAUUGUUUUAAAUAACUUCAUGGUCGUGUGACCAAUAUUACUUCUAAAUGCUACGGAGUACUAUUUA